Small nuclear RNA from Camelus dromedarius (Arabian camel), 102 nucleotides. Lineage: Eukaryota; Metazoa; Chordata; Mammalia; Artiodactyla; Camelidae. The record is from Ensembl.
UGGCAGCACAUAUACUAAAAUACUAAAACUGGAACGAUACAGAGAUUAGCAUGGCCCUUGCGCAAGGAUGACAAGCAAAUUCGUGAAGCGUUCCAUAUUUUA